Macrobrachium nipponense is the source of this 3027-nucleotide long non-coding RNA. RefSeq lists it as uncharacterized. Lineage: Eukaryota; Metazoa; Arthropoda; Malacostraca; Decapoda; Palaemonidae. The record is from RefSeq and is a predicted model, not a curated record. The transcript is spliced from 2 exons.
CCCUGAACCGAUUCGUUCGCCAGACUCGGUUCACGAUGGAGACGGCACGUUCCGUGCUCGACUCCAUCAGGGAGAACGAUUUCAUGCUUUCAGUGGAUUUGAAGGAUGCGUAUUUCCAGAUACCCAUCCAUCAAUCCUCCAGAAAGUAACUCCGCUUCAUCCUCGACAGGACGGUGUACCAAUUCAGGGCACUUUGCUUCGGUCUCUCAACCGCCCCACAGGUGUUCACGCGAUUGUUCACUCGUGGUGGCUGCUCAACACGUGUAGCGAACCCAGACCCUCGCAGGCUGAACAGCAUCGAGUCCUGGUGUGACUGUAAGAAUGGAUGAGUGAAUGAGAGUGUGACUGGCUCCUCUUCCCAUCUUUUUCUCCCCCUCUACCUGUGGGCAGAGGGACACGGUCGUCACCCUGCUGGAUGAGGACGAGAUGCAGGUGAGCUACUUGACAGAGCCCCAUCCUAUCCCUUUCACUAGGGAUAGGAGUGAAUAUCCAUCACUUCCCCCAACAAGGGGGGGAAGUGGAUGCCAACAAGAGACAAACCCAUAACUUUAUGUUGCCUCUUGCAAACAGGAACUUGUUCUUGCUUGCUGGUACGAAGAGAUACGCUUGCCCCUCUCUUAUUACUUGGUCCAGAGGUCUGACCAUUGACCCUGCGGUGCACACCCCGAUCAAUCGGACAGAGGCGUGGAUCCCUCCCUCGCUCUUACGACCAGGGAGGCAAUCCAAGGUUGGGCGAACACCAGUCUGUUCACAAAAGACUCAGAUUCCUCCCACCAAGAAGUGAGUCUUCCUAUUGUAAAAGGACCGAAAGGUUUGUAUCCCGUGUCGGAACAAAUGACAAUUUGGCCAAAAGUGAUUGUUUACCUCCCAGUCGCCCGGCGCGCGCACUGUCGGACAAGCAGUUAACUACCGAACUCCCUUGUUCGAAAGCUUACGACCAUCCAGCUGCCGCUAGUUACCUUCCUAUUGUAAAAGGACCUCAGGUUUGUAUAGUUAGGAAAAAUGCAUUUGUGGACAAAUUGUCAUAUGUGGCUGUUUUUGUUUCAUGAACAUAUUUAUUGAGUCAUUUACUUCAUGGGGAACUAAUUAUCAUCACUUUUUUAAGUCUGCCUUUUGUUAUAACUCCCAUCAGUUCCAGAUCUGUAUCUAUCAUUGUUUCAUGCUAUCAUUUCCUUUGUUGUCUUUUAGGUCUUCAUCCUGGUACUUCCUAAUAUACUCGUUUUAGACCAAAUAUUCCUCAUCCUUUCUUUUCAGUUGUCCAAACCAUCUCAGUUUUUGAAAUCUCAGCUUAUUUUCCAGCCACAAGACACCAUGUUGCUUCACCACUUCCUCAUUCUUAGUACAAUUUUCCCACCACAAUUUUGCCACUAAUCCCAACAUUCUUUUAGGUGUUCUCUUCUUCUGUCUUCAAAACUUCAGAAAUUUUUGAAGGGGAGCUCGACUAUGUAGAUUAAGGCUGAUUAUUAAUGAUGAGUUUGUAUAAGAAAAAUUACUUUAUGGUAGUAGUUAUGUAUUUCUAGAAUGUCAGAAUUUUUUAUUGUAUGAAUUUAAUAAAUGGCAAUAGUAGAAUUUUAAAGGCUUAUUACUGACAAGUAUUUAUACUUUCACAGUCAUAUUUAGAUAUAAUAUUUGUAAUAACAUUGCUAAGAUAUAAAAUCCUAAUAAUAGUUUUCCUUUUCCAGGUUCAUGACUUAAGCUCAGUUCAAAGACUAACACGUACUACAAAUUCUGAGUCUCCCAGUGUCCAAAUUAGCAAAAGAAGAUACCUCAGUGUUAAUUUUGCAUAAACUAAGUGUUUGUUAUUGUUACUGCCUGCAUUGUAUUGUUGUUGUUAUUGUUAUUUGGUAGUUUAACCAGACCACUGAGUUAAAAAGUCAUAAUUGAGGAAUUAGGGUUGUGUGAGUGGCUAUUAUAUAUGCAUCAGGUGUAGUUUGUUAAAAUUGGAAAGAACAAUAAAAGAAAAGGCCUAGUGCCACCACCCAAGAUGCUGGCCCUAUGGAACUGCACUGGUGCUACUUGAGUCUCCCCUGCUGUCCUGCUGCCAGAGGACCCAUAAUACAUAACUGUAGACAUUUCAGGCAAACUCACACGACAAGUGUUGUGUUGUGUUUCUUCUCUUGAGUGCAAUUUGAAGUAUGGUUUAUGACAGCUGUUUGUUUACUUGCAACUUUUCAUAACUUAGACAUUAUCCAGUUUGUUAAUAUUUGGUCUAUUAGGUAUCUCUAAGAAUCUUCGUAACAAUGUAGAGGUUAAGAUGCUGCUGAAAUUUUUUCUCUCACUGAUAGUUUUUAUUAUUGCUGAACUUAAAACUCUUAACGAUGUAUGAAAUGUCACGGAACUAGUGAUGAUCUUCUUGACACGAGAACUUGAGAAAAACUGUUGAGUCGCAGUUGUAACCUGUCCAACUGUCAGAUUUUUCAAGUUCCACCCAUCUAAUGUGGAGCAAAGUUCCCUUUAAAAGUAUGACUGAAGAAGGAACAAAUAUACUUAGUUUUUUUAAACUUUUUUCAGUGAUCUAAGACCAUUUUUGAUAUUGCAGUUUCAUAGUUCCCUAGGAGACCUUUUGCCAUGCAGAUUGGUUCCUUAGUUAAAUUAUGACUGACGUACCGAGUGCUGUUCCUAGAAAGUAUUGGUUUAAACACCAGUAAAGUAUUUGGAUAACUUUACCAUAGAAGUGAAAAACUUUAUUUUUAUAAGCUGAUCUGCAGGGGUAAUUUAGUUUUGCUGUUAGCCAAAUUUCUGUAGUAUAUGCAUAAACUAUAUUAGUCUGGUUAUGAAAAUAGAAUUCUCAGAUAGAAAAUUCAAGCUGUAGGUCUUCUGGUAGUUUGAUGUAAGAAUAUUUGGCCAAACAGAGUAUACUUUGCUGUUGAGAUGCAUUAUUUGCCAGAAUACAUAUGAGUGCAUUUCAAAUUUGACCCUCACUGUCUGUCACAUAGCACUGUUUUUAUAAAUGAGUGGAUUGAUUAUUAUGGAAUAUUUCUCAGUUUUGUGAGAGAUCUUUUAUUAAUUUGAUGUGAAUGUUGAAUA